UAAAAACUAGAAUGAAAGGUUAUACAUUCAAAUUUCUUUAUUAAUUUUUAAUAAAUAAUUUAUAUUAAAUAUAAAAAUAUAUUUAUAAAAAAAAAAGACGACAAGACCCUAUUAAAUUUUACUUAUAGUUUAGCUGGGGAAGCUUUUCAAUUAAAAUUUUUUAAAAUCUUAAAAUAAAUAUCUAAUUAAAAUUAAAAUUUAAAUAAAUUACUAUAGGGAUAACAGCAUUAUAUUUUUUAAAAGUUCAUAUUAAAAAAAAAUGAUUGUGACCUCGAUGUUGAAUUAUAUUUUCUAUAUUUAAUGCAAUAAUUAUAAAAGUAGAUCUGUUCGAUCUUUAAAAUAUUACAUGAUUUGAGUUCAAACCGGUGUAAACCAGGUUGGUUUCUAUCUUUUUAUAUAUAUUUUUCCAGUACGAAAGGACAAAAAAAUUUUUAUUUUAAUAAAUUAGCAAAUAAAUGCAUUAGAUUUAGAAUCUAAAUAUAUUUAAAUU
Molecule: unclassified non-coding RNA, 490 nt
Filed under: Anelosimus studiosus
Lineage: Eukaryota; Metazoa; Arthropoda; Arachnida; Araneae; Theridiidae
Description: partial contains 16S ribosomal RNA and tRNA-Leu (trnL)
Rfam family: Bacterial large subunit ribosomal RNA (bases 92-393)
Source: RNAcentral